This 280-nucleotide ribosomal RNA is filed under the name uncultured cyanobacterium. RNAcentral describes it as "partial 16S ribosomal RNA". It matches the Rfam family "Bacterial small subunit ribosomal RNA", at positions 338 to 633 of the family's 1533-position model. Lineage: Bacteria; Bacillati; Cyanobacteriota. The record is from RNAcentral.
CCUACGGGGGGCAGCAGUGGGGAAUUUUCCGCAAUGGGCGCAAGCCUGACGGAGCAAUACCGCGUGAGGGAGGAAGGCUUUUGGGUCGUAAACCUCUUUUAUUGGGGAAGAAGUUCUGACGGUACCCAAUGAAUCAGCAUCGGCUAACUCCGUGCCAGCAGCCGCGGUAAUACGGAGGAUGCAAGCGUUAUCCGGAAUUAUUGGGCGUAAAGCGUCCGCAGGUGGUUUAACAAGUCUGCUGUCAAAGCGUGCGGCUUAACCGCAUAUCGGCAGUGGAAAC